Molecule: long non-coding RNA, 107 nt
Organism: Drosophila arizonae
Lineage: Eukaryota; Metazoa; Arthropoda; Insecta; Diptera; Drosophilidae
Source: RefSeq, a predicted model, not a curated record
GUUGCAGCCUUUGAAAAUUGGAAUGCACUUGAACAUGGUUGUUGUUGCUGUUGUUGUUGCUGAUGAUGACGUCUUUCGUGAUAGUUGUUGUUAUUGUUGUUGUUGUU